Molecule: long non-coding RNA, 251 nt
Filed under: Lathyrus oleraceus (garden pea)
Lineage: Eukaryota; Viridiplantae; Streptophyta; Magnoliopsida; Fabales; Fabaceae
Description: Pisum sativum (pea) long non-coding RNA (PSAT_LNC001736)
Source: RNAcentral
UUUGGUUUCUGAAAUUGUACUCAGUGUAAUCCUUCCAAAAAUUAUAUGAAUAAAAGAGAUUUUUUAUGGUCAAUCAAAUUUGUUAAUGUUGUUAUUAUAUAUUUGCAAAUAAAAUAGUAUGUUCCUUGAAAAUAAAAACAAACAAAACAUUGCAUUUCAUGCAUCAUUUGCAUAACAGGUUUUCUUCUGCCAGAUGUCUUAUUGGUUAUUCUUCCGUGCUUCAGCCAAGCUGACUCAUUGAUAUAACACUC